CUUUUAUUUUCUCACAUCAUAUAUCAAUAUUUACCUCUGGACUGAAUAUUUAUUUGAAGGCUAAUAAGGAAGAGGGCUCUCUGACUUUAUCUGCCUCUCUUAGCCUUUCAUAUUGGUCAUUAACUACCAGUAAAAGCUAUUAAUGUCUGGUAUCCAUGCUAAAAUACGACACCUGUAGAAAUGCAGAGAUCCCUUAGGCAGUGACUUCAUAAGUGAAAUGUCUUGUUCUGAAUAUAAUUGCUCCUAUGUAAAGUAUUUGUUUUCCAUUUCACACUCAGAACUUUUCAGUGUUAUUGAAAAUGUUCCUAGCAGAAAUGGGAAUCACCCUAGUUCUGUACCCUUCCUGUACUGAGCCAGGACACCAAAACUCAAAGAAAGAAACUGAUGGACAAGAGAAUUCGUCCCUUGUACAAGCAGACAGUAGCAUAUAGAUGUAAAGUGUCAGCUGUCCUUACAGUGUAUAAAUUAGAAGAAACAGCAAAAGUUUGUCUGAGUUCAGACUUUAAUCAUUGGAAGGAAAUCACGCUGAAACAUACAGGAGGAUUUGGCAGAAGUCUCUGCUGGAGAUGGCCAAAGAAAUACUCUAAUGAAGAUCCUCUGUCAAGUUAUCCAAAUGUGGAAAAGGACAUGGGACUCCUUGGCAUACAUAACCUCUCUCCAGGCGGGCUUCUGCUUUUUUUUUCUUUUUUUUUUUUCUUUUUUUUUUUUUUUCUUUUACCUGCACUGGGAGAAGUUCUACUUGUGAAUGUGCUGUUUUCCUGAGAAUUUCUUCAGUUUCUUCACAGCCUGAUCCUCCAGCCACCAGCUUGAACCUGGCCCUUACCUCCACUUCUUACCCAGCCCUGUCUAGCUGUGGUGGUUUUGCCCUCCCAGGCAGCUGAACUCCACCACAAGCUCUCUCACCCCACAAUCUCAAAGUGAAAGGGGGAGAAUAUAGAAUGAAAAGGGUUCAAGGGUUGCCAUAAGGACUGGGACAUCACUCACCAAUUAUUGUCAAAGGCAAAACAGACACAGUAUAGGGAGAUUAACGUAAUUUAUUGGCUAUGACUAACAGAAAAAACAGUGAGAAAGCAAACAUGAAAUAAAAACAUUUUUCCCCCCA
RNAcentral lists this long non-coding RNA (1102 nucleotides) under Anas platyrhynchos platyrhynchos (common mallard). Its description in RNAcentral is "lncRNA (ENSAPLG00000020882.1)". The record is from RNAcentral. Lineage: Eukaryota; Metazoa; Chordata; Aves; Anseriformes; Anatidae.